AGGCCCCUGCGAUGUUCGACCGGGAGCAGAUUUUUGUGGAGCCGAUAUGCUGAAACCUGGGAGGCCGAUAAGGCCCACCCCCGUCGGCAGCGCCUCUGAGCGCUAGGUCGGGGACGCCGGCGGCCGCCCACCUUGACUAAGGGUUCCAGCAAAACUCUCCCACCGGCAUACUGCGGAGGCUUU
Molecule: non-coding RNA, 183 nt
Filed under: Planctomycetota bacterium
Lineage: Bacteria; Pseudomonadati; Planctomycetota
Description: 6S RNA
Rfam family: 6S / SsrS RNA
About the family: E. coli 6S RNA was the first non coding RNA to be sequenced, but its function was unknown until recently. It consists of 184 nucleotides that fold into an extended hairpin structure with a large single-stranded internal bulge. The 6S RNA specifically associates with RNA polymerase holoenzyme containing the sigma70 specificity factor.
Source: RNAcentral